This 208-nucleotide small nuclear RNA is filed under the name Microcebus murinus (gray mouse lemur). Its description in RNAcentral is "U2 spliceosomal RNA (ENSMICG00000028092.2)". It matches the Rfam family "U2 spliceosomal RNA". Rfam says of the family: U2 is a small nuclear RNA (snRNA) component of the spliceosome (involved in pre-mRNA splicing). Complementary binding between U2 snRNA (in an area lying towards the 5' end but 3' to hairpin I) and the branchpoint sequence (BPS) of the intron results the bulging out of an unpaired adenosine, on the BPS, which initiates a nucleophilic attack at the intronic 5' splice site, thus starting the first of two transesterification reactions that mediate splicing. Lineage: Eukaryota; Metazoa; Chordata; Mammalia; Primates; Cheirogaleidae. The record is from Rfam by way of RNAcentral.
AUCUCUUCUUGGCCUUUUGGCUAAGAUCAAGUAGUGUCUGUUCUUACCAGCUUAAUAUCUGCUAUGUCCUCUAUCAGAGGACACAAUAUUAAGACACUAUGUCCUCUAUCAGAGGACACAAUAUUGGAGAUAGGAGAUGGAAUAGAGGCUCCAACCACGCCACACAUCGACCUGGUAUUGUAGUACUUCCAGGAAGGCUGCACCCUUC